This is a long non-coding RNA of Bombus pascuorum, 502 nucleotides long. RefSeq lists it as uncharacterized. The transcript has 5 exons. The record is from RefSeq and is a predicted model, not a curated record. NCBI's taxonomy places the organism in Eukaryota, Metazoa, Arthropoda, Insecta, Hymenoptera, Apidae.
UUUUUAAAUAUUAUGUUAAUUAGAUUUCUUUGCGAGGUAACGUUAUGAUGAAACUUUUUAACCACCAAGAUCUAUGAAUGCCGUGAUUAGUCACAGUAUUUGCUAACUGAAAUGUAUAAAUGACAAUAUUACUUUACAAAAAUAAGAAUAUUGUUAUUAUUAAAUAUAAAUCAUUUCAGGUUCAUACGCUAACAACGCUUGCGGAAGACAGUUAUAGUAAAAUGUUUAUACGCUAACAACGCUUGCAGAAGACAGUCAUAGUAAAAUGUUCAUACAGUAACAACGUUUGCGGAAGACAAUUAUAGUAAAAUACGAUUGGGAUCUAAGGAUGAUGCUUAAAAGUUAACGCUUCGCAAGAGAGGUUAAUGAUCGUAGGAGGACGACGGAUACUUUUGGAUCGAACUGAGAAUACGAAAAAGAAUAGCAUAAUAAUAUAAUAGUACGAUAUAGCUAUUCGAUGUAUGUUUACUUUACAUAUGCUAAUAAAAACAUAGACGAUAAA